UAACUUAGUUGGUAGAGCAUGGCACUUGCAAUGCCAGGGUUGUGGGUUUGAUUCCUAU
RNAcentral lists this transfer RNA (58 nucleotides) under Salmo salar (Atlantic salmon). It matches the Rfam family "tRNA", at positions 8 to 63 of the family's 71-position model. From Rfam's summary of the family: Transfer RNA (tRNA) molecules are approximately 80 nucleotides in length. Their secondary structure includes four short double-helical elements and three loops (D, anti-codon, and T loops). RNAcentral also lists the same sequence under 1 other name. Lineage: Eukaryota; Metazoa; Chordata; Actinopteri; Salmoniformes; Salmonidae. The record is from Rfam by way of RNAcentral.